AUAGCAAUACAGGACUCUUUCCAUGCCCUGUAAUUGGAAUGAGUUUACUUUAAAUCCUUUAAUGAGGAUCUAUUGGAGGGCAAGUGUGGUGCAGAGCGACUGACCCGUGCAUGCUGCAGCUGAAACUCUGCUAUUGCCUGCUGCUGCUCUCACAGUCUCUCCAG
Pelobates cultripes (western spadefoot toad) is the source of this 164-nucleotide non-coding RNA. The record is from the annotation of a GenBank genome assembly. Lineage: Eukaryota; Metazoa; Chordata; Amphibia; Anura; Pelobatidae.